RNAcentral lists this unclassified non-coding RNA (188 nucleotides) under uncultured Helvellosebacina. RNAcentral's name for it is "sequence contains ITS2". The record is from RNAcentral. Lineage: Eukaryota; Fungi; Basidiomycota; Agaricomycetes; Sebacinales; Sebacinaceae.
GUACUCUCACACUCUCCAAUUCGGAUUGGGGAGCGGUGGACUUGGGUGUUGCUGCUUUACUGUGGCUCACCUCAAAUGAGUUAGUGCAACUCCUGAUUGGACAUAGUACGGCGUGAUAACAUAACCCUCGCUGUUUUACGUCUGAUUAGGAGCCUGUGCUUCCAACCGUCCUCGGACAAUGACUGAUA